Molecule: long non-coding RNA, 392 nt
Filed under: Cyanistes caeruleus (blue tit)
Lineage: Eukaryota; Metazoa; Chordata; Aves; Passeriformes; Paridae
Description: lncRNA (ENSCCEG00000015236.1)
Source: RNAcentral
GUUUGAAUGGCUGUUGGGUAUAUUGACCAUCCUGGCAAUACUUAAUUUUCCAUCUGUGAAGAUCAGAUCUUUUUUUUCUUUUUUUUUUUUCACUGAAGAGGAAAGGAAGAAAAAGUACACUGGUGAAGAGAAAGAGAGACAAUUGCAAAAUUUUCACAAAAGCUGAAGAAAACUCCUUGGUGACAAUCCUGUUUGCUGAACAGGAUUGCCCUAAAGCAGGGAGGUAUUCCUGGUUUUCAAGAGAAGCCUCUUCAUGUCAGCUUGUCUUUUUGGUAGCUUUCACAGUGUGUGAAGAAGGAAGCCAGAGACAGAAGCAAUCUGACUUUCUUACAUUUUUGCCGAGGAUAAGAAGUUCUGAAAGCAAUGGCAAAACAGCAAAAUGUUUCAAGUAG